RNAcentral lists this long non-coding RNA (377 nucleotides) under Nicotiana benthamiana. RNAcentral describes it as "long non-coding RNA (NBEN_LNC038413)". The record is from RNAcentral. Lineage: Eukaryota; Viridiplantae; Streptophyta; Magnoliopsida; Solanales; Solanaceae.
UUUUCAUAAAAUCAAACAAUCGAUUGUCUGGCUUUGACAAUCGAUUGUGGAUGGUCCAGUAGCUUAAAAACCUUUUCAGAAAACCAAACAAUCGAUUGUCUGGUUUUGACAAUCGAUUGUGUUGGUCCAGUAAGGUUAAAAACGUUUCAACUCUCUUAAGUUUCAGUGAAUAUUAAUUGUUUUAAAUUCCAUCAAUUCUUAUAUUUAGAAUUGUCCUAUCAUGUUAACAACGAUUAAUAAUCAAGUGUUACAUAUCAAAAUAUGUAACACAUUAAGUUGAGAUUCAUAAAAUGGCUUAACGAACUAAAGUUUAAAGCAUCUAAUAUUUUAGUUAUUCAAUUGAAGCACUAUGUUGCCAAAGUAACCUCUAUUGUGUA